UUUUUUUUUCUUUCUUUUUUUCUUUUUUUUUUUUCUUUCUUUCUUUCUUUUUUUUUUUG
Molecule: non-coding RNA, 59 nt
Filed under: Rhodosorus marinus
Lineage: Eukaryota; Rhodophyta; Stylonematophyceae; Stylonematales; Stylonemataceae
Source: RNAcentral